Molecule: long non-coding RNA, 1043 nt
Organism: Rhinolophus ferrumequinum (greater horseshoe bat)
Lineage: Eukaryota; Metazoa; Chordata; Mammalia; Chiroptera; Rhinolophidae
Exons: 3
Source: RefSeq, a predicted model, not a curated record
CGAGGGGAGGACGGCGAGGACAGCUGACUCCCGUUCUCGGUCUUAAAUCACCAGCUUCCCUACAUUCAUAUUUUCUCCUUUCAGCUUGGCUGUCAGUGCCACAUGGCAUGGCCUGCUGUCCUCUGGAGUGGCAGUGAGCUUUCUGACGCAUCCCCAGCUGCUACGAAAACGGCCCACGUAAUUCAGAGGACCAGAUCACACAACAUGACCAUGGGCUUGGAGGUGGUGUUUGAACGACAGCAGUCGGGGCGGCCGGAGCGUGGCAAGACACUGUAAGCCAGAGCUCUUGUUGUGGAAACAAAAUCCAAGGCAGAGGCUAACAUUCAGACUUGAUCUCAGCUCUCCCUGGGCAUUGAUAUUAAGAAGACAGAAGCCGAGGCUCAGGAGAGCCCCCCAUUUUCUGGUUCACCUGCGCCCUGGAGAGCUCUGCACAGCAGGCCAGGCCACCUGGGAGCAGGCUCCCCGUUAUGGAUCCCCAUACGAAGAAAAGCACGCGUAACCCGGUCACCCUUCACCAGAGCCCUAUCCUGAAACCCCAGCGGGGCCAACACCACUCACUGCCCCAGGGGUCCCAGCUGCCACCUUCUUGGUUCAUUUGUUUGAGAGCAAAUUUCAUUGGUUCCAAGGGAAAAGAAUAUGCUGGUUUUGUCACAUGCCCCAUGGGGAGGACACAUCCUCCCCUUCCGAGCCUCCAGGGCCCACAGAGAUGCCAUGCUCGGGUCCAUGCUGGGGUGCUGCCUGCCCCCCACCUCGCCCCCAUUCACUGCUCAUACUCAACGCCCAACUCACAGGGGCUGCCCCAACCCCCAGAUGAGGUCACACACACACACACACCCCCGUGAUAGUUUCCCGCCAUCACCCUCUUUCCUCCCCACUCAGAAAUGAAUGUCCUCUUAAAGCCAUAAAGGAAAAGACUACAUCACAUUUUACAUUUCACGUGGAAAAGGAUCUCAAAAAACAACUGGUGAGGGGAUUUGCAACAUGUGACUGACAGAGAUAAUACCCUCACAUAUAAACAGCUCUUACAAAUAGAUAGAAAGGAC